Molecule: long non-coding RNA, 1719 nt
Organism: Corapipo altera (White-ruffed manakin)
Lineage: Eukaryota; Metazoa; Chordata; Aves; Passeriformes; Pipridae
Exons: 6
Source: RefSeq, a predicted model, not a curated record
UUUUUGUCUGAGGCAACCUUGGGGUGUGGAGCAGGGGAACAGCCACCAUUUUGUGGCACGGCCGCCAUUUUGUGUCUGGGGAAACCAAGGGGAGUGGAGCGGGGGAACAGCCACCAUUUUGUGGCAUGGCCGCCAUUUUGUGGAACGGCCGCCAUUUUAUGUCUGGGGAAACCAAGGGAAAUGGAAUGGGGGAAUGGCUGCCAGUUUUGUUUGUCUGGGGGAACCAAGGGACGUGGAGUGGGGGAAUGGCCACCAUUUUAUGUCAGGGGAAACCAAGGGGAAUUGAGUGCGGGAAUGGCAGCCAUUUUUUGUUUGUCUGGGGAAACCACGGGGUGUGGAGCUGGUGAAGCGGCUGCCAUUUUGUGUUGGGGAAACCACAGGGUGUGGAGUGGGGGAUCAGCCGCCAUUUUGUAUUGGGGAAAACCAAGGGGAGUGCAGCUGGGGAACGGCUGCCAUUUUCUGUCUGGGAAAACUACAGAACUUGGAGUGGGGGAACAGCUGCCAUUUUGUUUGUCUGGGGAAACCAUGGGGUGUGGAGUGGGGGAACAGCCGCCAUUUUGUGGAACGGCUGCCAUUUUGUUUCUGCGGAAACCAUAGAGCGAGGGACUUGGCAGAGACUUGAGGGGCUUUUGAGGGGGAUGGAGGGAGUUAAAAGUCAGGUUUGGUGGAUCCCUUUCCUCCUGUCUCCAGCUCCCAGAGCUGUCCAUAUUUCCUCCUCACAUGCCAUCCAUCACUCUGGUCCCAGUGCACCUCCUUCAUGGUUUCUGAUGCAAAGGUGGAACUGCUGGACUUGAUGUUGGCACACCGGAGACUCUUGAUCUGAGCUUCUCUCAGUUUGAAAAGCUGCUCUCCUGUGCCCGCCUGGCACACAGGGAGCCCCCUUCCAGAAUAUACCACCUCAGCCUCAGGUGUUGGCACAGCCUGAAUCCUCAUCUCCACUUCAUGGACUCCUCGUUAAUCUCUAAGGUUGGAAAAAAAGUUUCUGAAGUUUAUUAAAAAACUCUCUGAAUUAAUUCUGCCUCUGUGUGGUCAGCCUGUGAGUCUGGAGCACACCUGAACCAAGGAGCAAAUUAAGGUUAAGUGCAGUUUGCCUGAGAAGUCAUAACUACCAUACCUGGGUGCAGCAAAGUGUGGAAGCUCUCGAAACCCAAACUCAUUAUUGAGAGAAUACAAUUGUGAAGGUCUUUCAGGAAAAGGAAGGUUGCUGUGGGAGAUGCAGUCCCCUUCACCCCACUGGUGGCUUUGCCAUGACUUACCAGCACAGGAGAAUUAAUACCCAGACAGUGCUCAGCUUCAUUAUGUGCCUCAGUGGAAGCAGACAGCACAGAGGAUCGUGUUAUCCCUCUGCUCCCAUUUCUGCCUGCAAACAGUUUUGGACUCCUGUGAAAAAAGUUGAGUUUUACAGUGUUCUGAGUUAUAUUUCCCUUCCAUUUAAAAAGAAGAACCUUGCAAAUGUGAUUCUGGCUGGGGAUUAUUAUCUCUGUGUGUUGAUAAUUCUCGAAUAAUGAUGCGUAUGGGGAGUUCUGAUGAAGGGUGUGGAGGAAGAUGAUUGAAGGCACUUGCAGAUGGAAGUCACAGAUUCCUCUUGGAUGGUGACAGUUUCCAAGCUCUGUAUGGCAGAUUUUUCUCUGGCCUAAUAUGUAGUUUAUCAUAUUUCUCUCACUUUCUAUGACUGAUUUAUCGUUGCUUUGAGUUCCUUUUCGGAGAGUGCUCCCAGCA